RNAcentral lists this unclassified non-coding RNA (213 nucleotides) under plant metagenome. RNAcentral describes it as "partial contains small subunit ribosomal RNA and internal transcribed spacer 1". The stretch from base 1 to 46 matches the Rfam family "Eukaryotic small subunit ribosomal RNA", at positions 1786 to 1831 of the family's 1831-position model. The record is from RNAcentral.
AAGUCGUAACAAGGUCUCCGUAGGUGAACCUGCGGAGGGAUCAUUAAUGGGUCAACUCGCCCACGGGGCUCGCACCCGUGCGGCCGAUACCUAUCACCCUCUGUGUCCCGAUUGUUGUGCCUCGGGGGCGCGCUUCGCCGCGCAUGCCCCCGGCGGCCCCUCCAAAACCCGCCGUAAACCGUCUGUCUGAGUCUAAAAGCAAAUGAAAUAAAA